Non-coding RNA from Neolamprologus brichardi, 387 nucleotides. NCBI's taxonomy places the organism in Eukaryota, Metazoa, Chordata, Actinopteri, Cichliformes, Cichlidae. The record is from the annotation of a RefSeq genome assembly.
AUGCUGGUGACUCUUUGUGCUCUCAUCACUGCUCUGACAUGUGUGAGUGGUGUGACAGUGGUGACACAGAAAACUGUGCUAUCCGUGAGCAAAGGAGAGACAGCCACCAUGGACUGUAACCUGGGGACUGUUACUAACAGUGCUGCUCGGUGGUAUAAACAGAUUCCAGGAGGAGUUCCUCAGUAUGUGCUGAGGUUUUAUCAUGGCUCGAGUUCUCCAACCUAUGGCUCUGGGUUCUCCUCUCCAAAAUUCACAUCCACUCAUCAGUCAACAUCAGAUUAUCGUUUGAUCAUCAGCAAUGUGGAGGAGGGAGACUCUGCAGUCUAUUACUGUCACACAUGGGAUGACUCUGCUAAAGAGCAUGCAUCACAGUAUUUUACACCAUGA